This 227-nucleotide unclassified non-coding RNA is filed under the name Hevea brasiliensis (rubber tree). Lineage: Eukaryota; Viridiplantae; Streptophyta; Magnoliopsida; Malpighiales; Euphorbiaceae. The record is from RNAcentral.
GUAAAUUUUUAAGAGCUUGUUGGCUGUUAAAAUUUUGGGGAACAUUCAAGUUAUGUCGAAGUACUGUCAGCUUUCUUUUAAAAUUUUCGUAAAUAAAUUAUGCAUUUUAUAUCCCACAAUUUCAGCCUACGAUUUAAAUUCCUUUUCUUGAUGCACUAUUACUUUUUUUAACUUUAGGAAAGGAUUCAACUCCUGUAAUAGAUACUAGGGGUACUCUAGCGGUUUAG